This 492-nucleotide ribosomal RNA is filed under the name uncultured bacterium. Its description in RNAcentral is "partial 16S ribosomal RNA". It matches the Rfam family "Bacterial small subunit ribosomal RNA", at positions 29 to 507 of the family's 1533-position model. The record is from RNAcentral.
AGUGAACGCUGGCGGUAGGCCUAACACAUGCAAGUCGAACGGCAGCACAGUAAGAGCUUGCUCUUACGGGUGGCGAGUGGCGGACGGGUGAGGAAUACAUCGGAAUCUACUUUUUCGUGGGGGAUAACGUAGGGAAACUUACGCUAAUACCGCAUACGACCUACGGGUGAAAGCAGGGGAUCUUCGGACCUUGCGCGAUUGAAUGAGCCGAUGUCGGAUUAGCUAGUUGGCGGGGUAAAGGCCCACCAAGGCGACGAUCCGUAGCUGGUCUGAGAGGAUGAUAGGCCACACUGGAGCUGAGACACGGUCCAGACUCCUACGGGAGGCAGCAGUGGGGAAUAUUGGACAAUGGGCGCAAGCCUGAUCCAGCCAUACCGCGUGGGUGAAGAAGGCCUUCGGGUUGUAAAGCCCUUUUGUUGGGAAAGAAAAGCAGCAGGUUAAUACCCCGCUGUUCUGACGGUACCCAAAGAAUAAGCACCGGCUAACUUCGUG